ACGAACGCUGGCGGCGUGGAUAAGACAUGCAAGUCGAACGGAAUAUUCUUUGUAGCAAUACAAAGGAUGUUCAGUGGCGUAAGGGUGCGUAACACGUGGGCAAUCUACCGAGAAGUGGGGGAGUAGCUCGCCGAAAGGACGAAUUAAUACCGCAUGUGGUUAGCGACGACAUCUUCGCGACACCAAAGCCGGGGACCGAUAGCAAUAUGGCCUGGCGCUUCUUGAUGAGCCCGCGGCCUAUCAGCUUGUUGGCGGGGUAACGGCCCACCAAGGCUAUGACGGGUAGCUGGUCUGAGAGGACGACCAGCCACACUGGAACUGAGACACGGUCCAGACACCUACGGGUGGCAGCAGUCGAGAAUUUUUCUCAAUGGGGCAACCCUGAAGGAGCGACGCCGCGUGGAGGAUGAAGGUCUUCGGAUUGUAAACUCCUGUCAUUAGGGAACAAGUUGCAGCGCG
RNAcentral lists this ribosomal RNA (459 nucleotides) under uncultured bacterium. Its description in RNAcentral is "bacterial SSU rRNA". It matches the Rfam family "Bacterial small subunit ribosomal RNA", at positions 29 to 460 of the family's 1533-position model. The record is from RNAcentral.